RNAcentral lists this transfer RNA (401 nucleotides) under uncultured Microcystis sp. RNAcentral's name for it is "partial contains 16S-23S ribosomal RNA intergenic spacer, and 23S ribosomal RNA". The stretch from base 134 to 207 matches the Rfam family "tRNA". The record is from RNAcentral. Lineage: Bacteria; Bacillati; Cyanobacteriota; Cyanophyceae; Chroococcales; Microcystaceae.
AGGGGAGACCUAAUUCAGGUAGGAGACGAAAAAAAGUAGUCCCUACCAAGAAUCAAUCCCAAAAGGUCGGAGCGAGGCAAAAUUGGCUUUCAAACUAGGUUCUGGGUUCACAUAAGACCUGAAUCAGGAACAAGGGCUAUUAGCUCAGGUGGUUAGAGCGCACCCCUGAUAAGGGUGAGGUCCCUGGUUCGAGUCCAGGAUGGCCCACCUGCACAGGUGGCAAAAACAAAGAAAAGAAGCUCCGAAUCAGCACCUUAUCUUACUCAUAUAGUAAGAGAGAAUGCUGGCUCUGAGUUCAGAGUCCAGAGGAACCUUGAAAACUGCAUAGAGCUAGGUGAAAAAGCCAAAAAAGAAGACCGCAAGGUCAAGCUAAUAAGGGCUAACGGUGGAUACCUAGGCAC